This 1626-nucleotide long non-coding RNA is filed under the name Homo sapiens (human). RNAcentral's name for it is "HSALNT0099605". The record is from RNAcentral. Lineage: Eukaryota; Metazoa; Chordata; Mammalia; Primates; Hominidae.
GAGCCUGCAAGACAAAGGCUCAGGUAGAAGAAGGAGGGCCAGGGGCUGCAGGAAGGCAGGAGGAUGCCAGGGGGAACCGAGGUAGCUGGAAAUGUUGCGAAACACACACUCACAUGCCCCAGCUUGCCCCCAAGCCGGCUGCACUGCUUUCCCCUCCUCAGCCCACUCAUGGCUCGGGUCAGCCGACGUCCCAUCCUGUGCCUUUCCAUGGUGGGAGACCACCGCGGGAUGGACCUGUGCCCCUGACCAAGCCUGAAUUAUAAGAUAAUUCUUUUGCUUCUAAAGGCUUCUUUCUAAGGCAGAAGAGUAGACACAGGUUCUGAAGAUUCUGAUCCCAGAGUUCUGGCUUUCCCCUCCCUUUGUGGCCCCCAGUUCCACCAGCAAAGCAUGGGGUGCUUUCCGGCCACCCUGCAAGCUGGGCUCCCAGGCACUGUGUUGGGAGUAAGCAAUGUGGAGUCAUCUCUUCCCCCAGAGAAACGCUGACAAGUAUUAGCUCACAGACAUGUGUGCACAAAGAUGGAUGCUCACAGUUGUCCGUUGGAGCACUGUUUGAAGCAGCAAAAGGAACCAAUUCAACUUUCCCUGAGUAGGAAAAUGGCUAAAUAAAUGGUAACUUAUUCACAGAAGGGAAUAUAAUACAGCUGUUAAAAUCAUGAAAAAAGCAAGAAGCCCCUUGCCAGAAGCAAGCCUCAUGACUUAGGACUUUCCAGCCUCCAGAAUUCUGGGCAUGGUGGCUCACACCUGUAAUCCCAGCACUUCGGGAGGCCCAGGUGGGCGGAUCACCUGAGGUCAGGAGUUUGAAACCAGCCUGAGCAACAUGGUGAAACCCCAUCUCUACUACAAAUACAAAAAUUAGCUGGGUGUGGUGGCUUGCAUCUGUAAUUCCAGCUACUAGGGAGGCAGAGGAAGAAGAACUCCUUGAACCUGGGAGGUGGAGGUUGUGGUGAGCCAAAAUCACAUCACUGCACUUCAGCCUGGGCAAAAAAGCAAGACUCUAUCUCAAAUAUAUAUAUAUUUUUUUUUCAAUAAAAAGCUAGAAAAAUUGGAGAGGUAUAUCAGGCUGUUCUUGCAUUGCUAUGAAUAAAGAAAAGAUGUUUAAUUGGCUCAUGGUUCUGCAGGCUGCAGAGGAAGAUACACAGGUAUCUGCUUCUGGGGAGGCCUCAGGAAGCUUCCAGUCAUGGUAGAAGGUAAAGAGGGAGCAGAUGUCUCACACGGUGGGAGCAGGAGCAGGGGGCGGGGAGGUGCCACACGCACUUUUAAACGACCGGAUCUUGAGAGAACUCACUCACCGUCACGAGAAUAGCACCAAAGGAAUGGUGCUAAACCACGCAUGAGAUAUCCUCUCCCGUGACUCAGGCCCCACCUCCAACAAUGAGGAUCACAUUUCAACAUGAGAUUUGGGCGGGGACACAGAUCCAAACCACCCAAACAGAGGCAAUAAAGACUACCUAGUCUAACUGUCUUGACGCUGCCUGAACCCCCUUGGUGGAAUGACAAUUACAUAAAAGCCUGAACUCAUUCAUUCUCCCACUCUCUUAAACUUAUUAUUCUUUCAAAGUUUAGUUUAUUUGUUUGUUUGUUUGUUUGAGUAAACUAUCAUGGUGGAGAAAAGAAAGCUUAAUUUCC